This is a long non-coding RNA of Pan paniscus (pygmy chimpanzee), 1639 nucleotides long. NCBI's taxonomy places the organism in Eukaryota, Metazoa, Chordata, Mammalia, Primates, Hominidae. The record is from Ensembl.
GGCCCCAGCCCGUGUCCCUGACGCCUGCCAGGGGUUGUGGCUGGAGAGGGGCAGCAGCCCUUCAGGUCUAGUUCAGUACUGUGUUUGCAGGAACCGGGGGCCCAGACCGGCCCCCCAUCCCCUGCUCAGCUGGCCAUUAUUGCCCUCCCGGCACCAAAAAGCCAACCCAGUUCCAGUGUCCUCCCGGCAUCUGGAGUAACCAGACUGGAUUGACCAUGAGCGAGGAGUGUAUGCCCUGCCCCAGGGGCUGGUUCUGUGUCAGUGGAGCUCAGGUGCCCUCAGGGACAUGCAGGGCCGGGCAUUACUGCCCAUGAGGGACGAAGUGGGGGACACAGUUCCCCUGCCCAGCAGGCACCUACAGCUCCCAGGCAGGCAACGGCCAGCUCGAGGACUGUCUGCCCUACCCCCCAGGGGCCUUCUGCCCCAGUGGGGUCCCUGAGCCGGAGCUCUGCCAACGGUAAGGAGGCCGCAUGUGUGGUUGUUAUUGAGGCCAAAUCGCCACAUUCAUUGUGUGCCUGCUGGAGCCCAGCACUGGACACUGGUACCAAGGGAGAGGAGGGCCCAGCCUGCCCUCAGGACCUGGCCACCUUGUUGAAACAGGACACACAGGAACAGGAUGAGCUGGACCCAGGGCUAUAGGUGCCCCAGGUCAGGGGCACCCCUACAGCCAGGAAGUUGAACAAGAGAGAAUCACUCUGGGUUACAGUCAGUGGAGAAGCCAUCAGCUUGUGGUGACUCGAUUCAGCCUUAAAAGAUGGGCAGAGUGCCGGGCAUGAUGGCUUGUGUCUGUACUGACUGGAGUAACUGGCUUGGAUUGACCAUGAGCAAGGAGUGUGUGCUGAGGCAGGAAGAUUACUUGGGGCCAGGAGUUUGAGACCAGCCUGGGCAACAUGGUGAAACCCCGUCUCUAAAAAAAUAUAAGAAUUAGCCAGGCAUGGCAGCCUGUAGUCCCAGCUACUCAGGAAGCUGAGACGGGAAGAUUGCUUGAGCCCAAAAGUUCCAGGAUGCAGUGAGCUAUGAUCAUGCCGUGGUACCCCAGCCUGGGCUACAGAGCAAGACCUCAUCUCUAAAAUUAUAAAAAACUUAUUUAAAAGAUGAGCAGAGUCCAAGGAGGGAUGUGAAGGUAUCCCUGCUGAAGCAGCCGUGCACCAGCCCACCAUCCUGAAAAAAGAAGCUGUUUCAGAGCUGCCCACUCUAAAGGCCAAACCCCUCCUAAAGCUAAUUGCUGCAGAGAUCUCAGCAGAGAUCAUUUGGCCCAAGCUGUGGGAUUAUCUGUGGAUUUUACUGUUUUAUUAAAAUGUGCCUUUUAUUCCUCUGGUCAAAAAGAAAACUUAGGGUUUGUCUUACUAAAAACAAGCAAUACACAUUCUUCAUGUAAAAAGUGGAAAUGACAUUGAUCAAAACAAAUUUCAGAUAAAUGCAGAUUUCAAUUUUAAAAAGCCAAAAUCACAAAAUCACAAAGCAUAAAUAGAUAUUUAUAAAACUUGAGAGAAUGUGGAAAAUCUAAGCCUGGGCAACAAAAGUGAAACUCCGUCUCCAAAAAAAAAAAAAAAAAAAUGAGCCGACCUCCCUGGCAGCUUACAAGCAAGGGUUUAUAGAGGCAGGGGUAAAUGUCAGGAGAGAAAUUUACCCUUAUACA